RNAcentral lists this ribosomal RNA (486 nucleotides) under uncultured bacterium. RNAcentral's name for it is "partial 16S ribosomal RNA". It matches the Rfam family "Bacterial small subunit ribosomal RNA", at positions 30 to 507 of the family's 1533-position model. The record is from RNAcentral.
AUUGAACGCUGGCGGCAUGCCUUACACAUGCAAGUCGAACGGCAGCACGGGUGCUUGCACCUGGUGGCGAGUGGCGAACGGGUGAGUAAUACAUCGGAACAUGUCCUGUAGUGGGGGAUAGCCCGGCGAAAGCCUGAUUAAUACCGCAUACGAUCUACGGAUGAAAGCGGGGGACCUUCGGGCCUCGCGCUAUAGGGUUGGCCGAUGGCUGAUUAGCUAGUUGGUGGGGUAAAGGCCUACCAAGGCGACGAUCAGUAGCUGGUCUGAGAGGACGACCAGCCACACUGGGACUGAGACACGGCCCAGACUCCUACGGGAGGCAGCAGUGGGGAAUUUUGGACAAUGGGCGAAAGCCUGAUCCAGCAAUGCCGCGUGUGUGAAGAAGGCCUUCGGGUUGUAAAGCACUUUUGUCCGGAAAGAAAUCCUUGGCCCUAAUACGGUCGGGGGAUGACGGUACCGGAAGAAUAAGCACCGGCUAACUACGUG